This 292-nucleotide ribosomal RNA is filed under the name uncultured bacterium. RNAcentral describes it as "partial 16S ribosomal RNA". It matches the Rfam family "Archaeal small subunit ribosomal RNA", at positions 455 to 747 of the family's 1478-position model. The record is from RNAcentral.
GUGUCAGCCGCCGCGGUAAUACCCGCAGCACAAGUGGUGGUCAUUAUUAUUGGGCCUAAAGCGUCCGUAGCUGGCCUGUUAGAUGCCUGGGUAAAUCGAUGCGCUCAACGUAUCGAACUCCGGGUAGACCGGCAGGCUUGGGACCGGGAGAGGCGUGAGCUACUCGGGGGGUAGGGGUAAAAUCCUGUAAUCCUCCGGGGAGGACCAGUGGCGAAGGCGUCACGCUAGAACGGCUCCGACAGUGAGGGACGAAGCCCUGGGGCGCAAACCGGAUUAGAAACCCUCGUAGUCC